UACGUAGGGUGCGAGCGUUGUCCGGAAUUAUUGGGCGUAAAGAGCUCGUAGGCGGCUAGUCGCGUCGGCUGUGAAAACCUGGGGCUCAACCCCGGGCCUGCAGACGAUACGGGCUAGCUAGAAUUCGGUAGGGGAGACUGGAAUUCCUGGUGUAGCGGUGAAAUGCGCAGAUAUCAGGAGGAACACCGGUGGCGAAGGCGGGUCUCUGGGCCGAUAUUGACGCUGAGGAGCGAAAGCGUGGGGAGCGAACAGG
RNAcentral lists this ribosomal RNA (253 nucleotides) under uncultured bacterium. RNAcentral describes it as "partial 16S ribosomal RNA". It matches the Rfam family "Bacterial small subunit ribosomal RNA", at positions 524 to 776 of the family's 1533-position model. The record is from RNAcentral.